This 550-nucleotide ribosomal RNA is filed under the name Diplosoma listerianum. Its description in RNAcentral is "bacterial SSU rRNA". It matches the Rfam family "Eukaryotic small subunit ribosomal RNA", at positions 1192 to 1665 of the family's 1831-position model. Lineage: Eukaryota; Metazoa; Chordata; Ascidiacea; Aplousobranchia; Didemnidae. The record is from RNAcentral.
UAUUCGACUCNCGCGGGAAACUCACCCGGCCCGGACGUGAAAAGGAUUGACAGAUCGAAAGCUCUUUCUUGAUCUUGCGAAUGGUGGUGCAUGGCCGUUCUUAGUUCGUGGAACAUUUUGUCUGGUCGAUUCUGAUAACGGACGAGACUCGAACGAUGCAUGUCUGAUAAGCGGUCGCUUGCCGUUUCGCUUGAAUGCGCGGCAGCCGAGGCGAACCGAAAACUUUGUAAACUUGACGGACCGGCGGCGUUGAUGUGUAAGCCGCACGAGAUCGAGCGAUAACAGGUCUGUGAUGCCCUUAGAUGUCCGGGGCUGCACGCGCGCUACAAUGGUCGGAGCAGAAUGAAAAGAGACGGCUCCGCUUGGCGGGCGGUCCUUCGGGGCCCCCGUUCAUACUGGUAGACCGUUCCCCGGGUCGACGGGCCCGGGAGAUCGGCUGGAAUCUCGAUCGUGAUCGGGACAGAGUCUUGUAAUUGUUACUCUCAAACGAGGAAUUCCUAGUAGGCGCGAGUCAUGACCUCGCGUCGACUGCGUCCCUGCCCUUUGUACC